CUCGGCAACACUGUACCGUACAGUGAGGUUGUUGUUCAGUCUGUUGUCCGCGUUUGCACGGCAAAAGAGAUCGGUUGUGAUAUUGAAACUGAAAGUGUUUCUCUUACGUUAACAAUUAAGCUUCCGGGAAAGCACGACGUUUCCCCCCCGAAGAAUUCUCUGCUGCAGUGAAACAUGACCUGACAUAUACCGCGUUCAUGUGCUGGUACUCGAGAUUGCGACAUCCUCUGCAAUUUUACAGUUGGUUUGGAGCAGGCUUUUGGAGAGGUCGUUUAUGUGAGUAGGCUACUAUCAACUAAUGCUUUUCCAUAGCAGGAAAACAGUUACAUGUUUGAAGACAAAUUUCGUAAUGAAAUUGAAGCUAACAUUGGACAAUAUUUUAACUUCACUUUUAAUUUUGUAUGCGUAUGGCUCAGCUGAUUAAUUAUGCAGAUCUUAAUAAUAUUUUUUACAUAACCUUCGCAGUAGUCCUAAUCUAUAUAAUAUUCACAUAAUUCACCUGAACUAUAUUUAAUUCAUAAUUGUAUUAAAGAUUGAAUAUUUCUGGGAGCUGCAGGCUAAUCAUCCUGUGAAGGCACUUGACCAUGGAUUCCCCAAUGUGCCUGGUCGAAAACGCCGAUGGCGAGCUUCAUGUAGUUCCUGGUGCUAUCAAGUACCCGAUGGGACUGAACCAGAAAGUCAUAGUGGUGGCGGUGGUCGGGCUGUACCGCACCGGCAAGUCUUACCUCAUGAACAAGCUGGCUGGAAAGAGAAAAGGUUUUGCCCUGGGAGCCACCAUCCAAUCCAAGACUAAGGGAAUCUGGAUGUGGUGUGUGCCUCACCCU
Salvelinus sp. IW2-2015 is the source of this 824-nucleotide non-coding RNA. Lineage: Eukaryota; Metazoa; Chordata; Actinopteri; Salmoniformes; Salmonidae. The record is from RefSeq and is a predicted model, not a curated record.